AUUGGCUCUGCACAAUCUGCUGUUCCCUCUGCCUCCAACUCCUCCCCCCCUCCUCCCCUCUUUUUCUGCCUCUUGGCUUCUCACCCAUCCCCCGCUGGCCCUCCACCCAGCCCCCACCCUGCCACGGGGGCGCUUCGGCGCCCUCCCUGGGAGAGAAGACCCAAUCCAGCAGUGGGGGUUGGCUUCCAGGCCAAGAAGACCCGGCGAGGUACAUAAAGGUUGCACAGUUGGGGAAGCCACGAUAGCGCCGACCACUCAUAACUCCAUCCGGUCUUGGCAUUUCCAGAGGCGCGUGGGAGGGGACAUGGCUACCACCGACAGAGAGCAAAGCUGAGCGGGGCCGGCUGGCCCGCCUCCCUCCCCAGCAGGCGCCUCUGUAGACCCUGCUGGAACAAUGGCUCUGCCUCGCCCACCAGCUCCAGGAUGCUUACCAGAUAAUACUCGGAGCUCUGGUGCCAUAAUCAAGUUUUCAUAGAUCUGUGGCCUGCCCAUUCACACUAGGCGCAGUUACUAAGGUCACUCACUGUACACAGCCACGGUCAGUCGGCAGUAUCCAACCCCACCCCCCAUCUUCAUGCUUUCCAAAUGCACGUGGCACCUUUGGGAGACCCUUCUGUCAGGCUGGAGUUCUGCAGUUUUCUUUAUGGAAAAAGACCAGGAAACAGCAGGCCCGAACGAUUACUGCAAGCCUCACUGUGACUGCGCAGUGGGUACUCCAUCUUUCCACUUUUAAACCCGAGACACAGAUGAGAGAGCUUGCGAGUGGUCUCCUCAGCCACUGUGUCCUUGGCUGCUAAAACAAACUCCCUUAGACUGUGAGGCAUGAACAAGAGAAAUCAGUUUCUCACCGUUUUGGAGGCUGGGCAUCUACAGCAAAGCACCAGCCUAAAGUGGGCCUCGGAUUCAUAGUGAUGCAGGAGCUAUUUGGUACAGCGAUGCACAGUGUAUGAAGAUGGACGUGAGCUGUAACAUUCCACUGUGGAGCAGGACACACGGUCUUACGGCACUUUUAAUCUUGACCCUUCAACUCAAGAGAGUAAGCAUAAAAUACCCCCCACUUAGGCAUCUUAAAUAAUUAAGUUAAUUUUAAUUACAGGGAGUUCCUAUUGGCCAUGGGAUGAAGCCUGUACUUCUUACCAUGACUUUGGAGGCCCUCUGGACCCUGGACCUUCCCUGCUCAUGUAUUUCCCUUAAAUGUCCUCAUUUCUCUUCAGUCCCUUGAUAUUUCACUGUUAAAACCUACAAACAUUCCUUUCCUUUUGCCUACAGCAUUCUGCCCCUCCAGCCUUUACCCACUGUCGACCUUACUGAUUCCUGGUUGUUCUUUUUGGUUUUGUUUCUAAAUUACCCAAUGGUUUACCAGGCUGGCUCUCCAUGUCUUAUGCUCUUUAAGACCUUUGUGGCUUCUGCUUUUCUGACAUUUGUACUGAGAUUUACAGAGAAGAUAGGCUUGAGUGCCUGACCCAAGAGGGACUUUCAGUGGGUAUUUGUUCAUUGAAUUUGUUACAUCCAUCGUAAUAGGAGAUAUUUGAAAUAUUACCUCCUCAUUAUCUCUUCCAGGACCAUUCUCUUUUAAGCAAUAGAUGAGCAUUAUAGCAAAGGUUGUUUUGAAAAGAUGCACCUUCAAGGUGUGUAUUGUUUCUUUACUUCUCAACCAGGAAGACAAGUCAUAGGAAUUUCUAGGUAGGGAGAAGUGGGGAGUGGAGGUGUGGCACAUGAAUGGCGACUCUUUGGUCUGGCAUCACUCUGGGGCCUUGCAGUCAGUCUCAUACUGCGGCAUGCUUUCUACCUCUCAUUUCUAAGCCAAAGGCAGGAACUAGCCAGGCAAAGAGAAUAAAGAGGAGGGGGCCACAUACUGGACUCUGAGCUGGCUUCACUCUAGUUCAGGAAAGCACUUGCUAGAGGAACACCUUUCAGUUUUUCCAUGAUAAACGGCUGCCACAGUGUGAACUCAUCAUUCUCAGGGCGAGAGAAGAAUAAAAAUUACUGUAAGCAGUUAUUAUUCCCCAUCAUGUUCAGAUACAGAGUAAGCAUUUUCUAAUGCGGAGUUAGGUCAGGCUCUUCCCAUGAGCUCCAUAAGGAAUGUAAAUUAAUAGUCAUCUUUUUAUUCACUCUUCUCUUUCACUCCCCUCUUCUUCCUCUCUUUCUUUCUCCCUCUUCCUUCCUUCCCCUGCCCUUGCUUUCCUUCAUGAACAAUUCCAAUCCAAAGACAAUCGGAUAAGUAAAGUAUUUGUCCUCCGAGUGGUUGGACUUCCGGAGUGUAGAAGUGUCUACAAUUAGGUGCUGCCGUGUGAGCCACUGAAGAGUCCUUGUUCGAGAUGCUGUUUGGCACUGGGUGCUGGAGCCUGAGUGCAGAAAGCCAAGGACACUUCACUCCACCUGACCCCCACUCCGGGAGGAGCAGCCUGAUUCGGGGUGUUGGAUCCCAAGUACAAUGAGGAAGGUGACUGGUUGGUGAAGAAGGAAGGGGCCCUUUCGCAGUCUCUGGGAAUCUUCCUUCUGGAAGGGGCCCUUUCGCAGUCUCUGGGAAUCUUCCUUCUGGAAGGGGCUCUUUGAGAGAGGCUGAAGGUCAGCUCUGCCCAGUCAUUCUGUUCUGCUGUAGAACUCUGAACCAUCUGAGAAAUCUUACUCAAGACUUAGUUUUCAAGUUUAGGAAGGUAGUGUGUCAAGGUAAAAGGAACAUUCUAUUCUCAUUUUAUUGAAAUGUUCGUUAGCUUGCUUUAUAAACCCACAUGUGGGUGUUUCUUCUCUUGCUAGGGCCUUGGUAUCUUUUGUUUUCCACUCAUUAUUCUUAGGAGAUAAAUUAAGAAUGUAUGAUUUAAUAAGCUGUCUGUGGGCUAGGGGUGUAGCUCAGUGUUAGAGUGCCUGCCCAGCAUGUGCAAGGCCCCUUUCUAUCAGCGCUGCAAGAAAAAGAAGAAAAGAGUUGAGUGCUGCUGUUCCCAUGUCUCAUUUCCUUACUUGGGAGGCUGAGACAGGAGGAAUUUGAGUUCAGAACAAGCCUAGACUACAUUGUGAAGCCAUGUCUAAAAUAAUGAACAGCCCAGGCCAUUUAUCACGUCACUCUAAAUUGCUGUUACACGUUUAAUAAACCAGUUGGCACAGGGAUAGUUCAGGUAUAGGAAAAACAUGUGCCAGGCAGUUGUUAUAGAGCUACAGGUCACAAGUGGAAAUAGGCAGGCCUGGUAGUGAUGCCCCUUCCACAUGGUGGGACAGAUAUGCCCCUGUCUCGGCCCUGUCUAGACUGUCCCUCUGCACUUGUGGGAUAGGAUCUUCUGUGUGAGUCACUUUGCUCUACAAAAGCCAGGGUAUCACAGUCAACUUAUUCAAAGUUCAUAUUUUCAAAAUGCCCACAAUCUGUAUUUUUCUGAAAAGUGAAUUUUAAAACCACCCUUGUCUCCUUCUCUUCCUCUCUCUUCAUUUCCUAGGGCACCGUUCUCAGAUCAAGUUAAUGAGAAUUUCUUUUGGUUCUGGUAAGAAGCUUGUUACGGGGGAAAGUAGAUCAGUUUAUGCGCUUAGCUUUUGGCUUGUCAAAUCCAUCUCUAAGAAGGCUUUGCCAUGUGUCCUUCUGAAAAGUCAAAUAAAAACAAAUUCGAAUGAAGAGAGGAGGGAAUUUUUACAUUUUCGAGCAACGUUCAAGUUUAUUGAGGGAGAGUGUCCACAGAUUCAGGCACUAGUAGUGCAAGAGAGACAGAGGCAGGGAGAGGAAGUAGGUGAGGGCAGAGGGGCAGGUGAGAGGGGAAGAGAGAGGGCAAGAAAACACACAGAACACCAGCACACACGCAGGCGGUGAGCAGGCCACCAGGAUCCUCAGAGGUAACGUGGGGCUGCUGAGAUGGCUCAUCGGGUGAGGCUGCUGGCCGCCAUGCCUGAGGAUCUGAGUGUGACCCCUGGAGCCCACACGAGGGAGAGAGAACCCCUGAAGUGGUCCUCUGACUUCCCCACUCAAUCUAUGGCAUGGCUCUCUUGAGCACCCAUACACUCACAAAGUAAGUUAGUGCGAAAAUCAAAGCGAAAACAAGCAAAUAAACACAAAAAUCAGGCGGGGAGGAACUCAAUAAUUAUUUAACUUUUUAAAACGCUCAGAAGAACGAACCAUUUUUGAGUAGGAAAGGCCAAUGAAUGUCAUUGACGAUACAAUAUGAAACUUGGAAAAAGUGAAGACAGCAUUUUUUUUUUUUUCCAAGACAGGGUUUGUCUGGCUACCCUGGAACUCACUCUGUAGACCAGGCUGGCCUCGAACUCACAGAGAUCUGCCUGCCUCUGCCUCCCAAAUGCUGGGACUAAAAAGCAUGCGCCACCACCACCAUGAAGGCAGCAUAUCUUAAAAAACGGUUUCUCCUGUGACUAAUCGGGAAUGUGCUUCUCCGAAACAACGAAGUAGCUGGGUGUUGGUUGCUGCCAAAUGUGGAGACAGAGACAAGUGGGGGAGGCAGAAAAGGGUCAAGUGGCACUCAUGAGUAGUGUGUAAAGCAGGAGAAGAAAAGUAGUGACCAGGUCCAGAACAAAGAAAGGUGUGCACUAGUGAGGCCACUGUGUGAACAGUAUUUACAGGCUCCGCAGUUCAAACACUAGUUACGAUUUAACUACAACCAUGGCACAACUGUAUCGAGAAGAUGGAGAAAAUGAAGUGUGCAGGUUCCUACCUGAGUGAUCGGACGUGUGGUGGUCACCACAGUGGUGAGUGUUUAAAAAUUACAUUUCCAUCUUCCAAGGCGAGAGGUCAGUAAAUGAAAUUCUUAAGUCAGUUAAUCGUGAUAUAAGCAUGUUUUUUAGAAACACAGAAAGGAAUGCCAGGAGCCAGCCAAAAAGAAUUCAGAGAUGUUCUUCUGAGGGAUGAAAUGGAGAGGCAAGUGGGGCGCUACUGUUUCUGCCUCUGCCUCUCUGUGUCUCUCCCUCUCUGCCCUGCCUCUGCCCCACCACACUGGGCUACAAGAGACUUUUUACAUGAACCAAGUCCUUCCCUGAACCAGUCAAUCUCAAUCUCUGUCUCUCUGUCUCUGUCUCUCUCUCUCUCUCUCAAGUCUCCCAGUGUAGCCCAGCUAGCCUUGAGCUUUUUAAAAUAUUGAGAAUUGUAUACACACAUACAAAGCAUUUUGAUCAAAGGUAGCCUUUAACUCUUGAUCCUUCUGCCUCAGUUUCCCGAGUUUACAGUUAUGUGACACUAUGCCCAGCAUCUCCCAAAUCUCUUAAGACCUUGU
Peromyscus californicus insignis is the source of this 5198-nucleotide long non-coding RNA. RefSeq lists it as uncharacterized. Lineage: Eukaryota; Metazoa; Chordata; Mammalia; Rodentia; Cricetidae. The transcript is spliced from 3 exons. The record is from RefSeq and is a predicted model, not a curated record.